Long non-coding RNA from Cebus imitator (Panamanian white-faced capuchin), 160 nucleotides. RefSeq lists it as uncharacterized. The record is from RefSeq and is a predicted model, not a curated record. NCBI's taxonomy places the organism in Eukaryota, Metazoa, Chordata, Mammalia, Primates, Cebidae. The transcript is spliced from 3 exons.
UGUGCAUUUUAUUGCUUUACUCUGACUUCAUUCUGUGGCACCCACCUACAAGGGGAAGUAAGUUAUUUUUGGUAUUUCGGAAACUAAAGUCCUUAUGGGAUGGGGUCUAAAAUUCUCCUUUCCUGAGGGGCCGGGCGCGGUGGCUCAAGCCAGUAAUCCC